This 69-nucleotide transfer RNA is filed under the name Sciurus aestuans (Guianan squirrel). RNAcentral describes it as "Guerlinguetus aestuans (Guianan squirrel) tRNA-Ser". It matches the Rfam family "tRNA". From Rfam's summary of the family: Transfer RNA (tRNA) molecules are approximately 80 nucleotides in length. Their secondary structure includes four short double-helical elements and three loops (D, anti-codon, and T loops). The record is from RNAcentral. Lineage: Eukaryota; Metazoa; Chordata; Mammalia; Rodentia; Sciuridae.
GAGAAAGACAUAAUGGUUAUGGGACUGGCUUGAAACUAGUUUUGGGAAGUUCGAUUCUUUCCUUUCUCG